This 67-nucleotide transfer RNA is filed under the name Haematortyx sanguiniceps. Its description in RNAcentral is "tRNA-Lys". Lineage: Eukaryota; Metazoa; Chordata; Aves; Galliformes; Phasianidae. The record is from RNAcentral.
CAUUAAGAAGCUAUGGACCAGCAUUAGCCUUUUAAGCUAAAGAAAGAGGACAUCCCCUCCUUAAUGA